CCUACGGGAGGCAGCAGUGAGGAAUAUUGGUCAAUGGACGAGAGUCUGAACCAGCCAAGUAGCGUGAAGGAUGACUGCCCUCUGGGUUGUAAACUUCUUUUAUAUGGGAAUAAAACGUUCCACGUGUGGGAUUUUGUAUGUACCAUAUGAAUAAGGAUCGGCUAACUCCGUGCCAGCAGCCGCGGUAAUACGGAGGAUCCGAGCGUUAUCCGGAUUUAUUGGGUUGAAAGGGAGCGUAGGUGGAUUGUUAAGUCAGUUGUGAAAGUUUGCGGCUCAACCGUAAAAUUGCAGUUGAAACUGGCAGUCUUGAGUACAGUAGAGGUGGGCGGAAUUCGUGGUGUAGCGGUGAAAUGCUUAGAUAUCACGAAGAACUCCGAUUGCGAAGGCAGUUCACUGGACUGCAACUGACACUGAGGCUCGAAAGUGUGGGUAUCAAACAGGAUUAGAUACCCCAGUAGUC
Molecule: ribosomal RNA, 460 nt
Filed under: uncultured bacterium
Lineage: Bacteria
Description: partial 16S ribosomal RNA
Rfam family: Bacterial small subunit ribosomal RNA
Source: RNAcentral